Molecule: ribosomal RNA, 200 nt
Filed under: uncultured eukaryote
Lineage: Eukaryota
Description: partial 18S ribosomal RNA
Rfam family: Eukaryotic small subunit ribosomal RNA
Source: RNAcentral
GCUCCAAUAGCGUAUAUUAAAGUUGUUGCAGUUAAAAAGCUCGUAGUUGGACUUCUGAUGCAUUGUUGCGGUCCGCCGCAAGGUGAGCACUGUGACGAUGUGUCUUCCUCUCGCAGGCCUUUGGUGCACUUAAUUGGGUGCCAUUGGAAUGUGGGACCUUUACUUUGAAAAAAUUAGAGUGUUCAAGCAGGCAACCGCUU